Molecule: long non-coding RNA, 687 nt
Organism: Cloeon dipterum
Lineage: Eukaryota; Metazoa; Arthropoda; Insecta; Ephemeroptera; Baetidae
Exons: 3
Source: RefSeq, a predicted model, not a curated record
CUCGGCGGCGAGGCCUGCAAAGUAAAGCAGCAGCGCACCACACACAUCCGCAGCAUCCGUGGCAGUGGCUGGUGCCGGACUGUUGUCGCUCUAGCUCUGGAUUUUGCCUAUUUCUGUAAAAAAAGUGUUUGCAUCUCCAACUCUUCCGGCGGCUGACAGUGCGCAAAUUUCGCUGACUAAGGCAAGAAUUAUCAAUCACUCUUGGUGUUUAUUGUUAUGCUAAUCGGUGACAACAAAAGCCGGCUGCCCUUCAUUGUGUGAAGCGCGGCUCCAUCGGGCUUCGACACCACGGUUGAACAGGCGUGAAAUUAAAAAGUAAAAAAAACACUCCAAUAAUAAGAAAGACUGUUUUUCAAGGACAGAUAUUUCUCUAUUUACUGCUACGAGCUGCAUAGUGAAAAACCGUGGACAAUUUUCGCACCGAAACAAAGGGGCGAGAAGCAGACGAUUGCAAAGCAACACAUUAGGAAACAGAGAUCUCCUCUGUGCACGGCGGGAGCCUCGCGAAUCCCAAGGUACUCACUUUUGCUCGGUCGCGAACAACUCGUUAAGUUGGCGAAAGGACGCUGGAGAGUGUCUCCUGGCGUCGACCCAGCACAAGGUAGGGCAAUUGAGCCGGAAAAUAAAUAACCGCCACGGGCCCAGCCGCAACGUAUGCUCUCGCGAAAGAGCCCUCUCCAUAUAAGC